This 315-nucleotide unclassified non-coding RNA is filed under the name uncultured fungus. RNAcentral describes it as "sequence contains ITS2". The record is from RNAcentral. Lineage: Eukaryota; Fungi.
AACGCACCUUGCGCCCCUUGGCUAUUCCGAGGGGCAUGCCUGUUUGAGUAUCAUGAACACCUCAACUCUCAUGGUUCGCCAUGAUGAGCUUGGACUCUGGGGGUUUUGCUGGCCUGUGGUCGGCUCCCCUCAAAUGAAUCAGCCUCCCAGUGUUUGGUGGCAUCACGGGUGUGAUAGAUAUCUACGCUCGCGGUUGUCUGCCAGGUAACCUUUGGUGACAAAGGUUCGCUGGAGCUCACAGAUGUCUCUCCUCGGCGAGGACAGCUUUUUUGAACGUUCGAUCUCAAAUCAGGUAGGACUACCCGCUGAACUUAA